Molecule: long non-coding RNA, 225 nt
Organism: Nasonia vitripennis (jewel wasp)
Lineage: Eukaryota; Metazoa; Arthropoda; Insecta; Hymenoptera; Pteromalidae
Exons: 2
Source: RefSeq, a predicted model, not a curated record
GCAAAAAAUUGCAGCUAAACAGGCGAUAAUCACAGACAAGUGUUAUCGCUGCAAUAAGGUGGGACACAGAGCAGCCUUUUGUCCUCUUAAAGAGUACAAUCUAUGGUACUGCUUUUAUUGCCAGGCUGUAGCUCCACACAAAGGGGAUGAUUGUCCAAAUAAGGACAAUCCCAAAGAUGGAUACAGGAAACCAAGGAGAAACUAAUUCAGAGUAAAGUUCAGAGA